ACCCUGGGGAGCGCGUGAUUGACCUGUGAGGUUAUUGAGCCAAUACCUCUUAAAAGGGCAAUGAUUUCAGUACACCGGUGUGCAUGCCCGGCAUGUUUCGGGAAGCCUGAUGGGGUACGAAUCGAGCCCACCUGGACAAACCAGGUUCAAAACUGACGGCAACACGGCUCUCUCGGGGAU
This 180-nucleotide non-coding RNA is filed under the name uncultured Pseudodesulfovibrio sp. RNAcentral describes it as "6S / SsrS RNA". It matches the Rfam family "6S / SsrS RNA". Rfam says of the family: E. coli 6S RNA was the first non coding RNA to be sequenced, but its function was unknown until recently. It consists of 184 nucleotides that fold into an extended hairpin structure with a large single-stranded internal bulge. The 6S RNA specifically associates with RNA polymerase holoenzyme containing the sigma70 specificity factor. Lineage: Bacteria; Pseudomonadati; Thermodesulfobacteriota; Desulfovibrionia; Desulfovibrionales; Desulfovibrionaceae. The record is from RNAcentral.